UCUGAUUAUUGCCAGUGCCUUCUAUUGAGA
RNAcentral lists this non-coding RNA (30 nucleotides) under Rattus norvegicus (Norway rat). The record is from RNAcentral. Lineage: Eukaryota; Metazoa; Chordata; Mammalia; Rodentia; Muridae.